UAGGACAGGAGAGGUGGUACAAAUGCAUGUAGAUACCAAGACUUGCAGGAUGUAAAUACCUAAGUUUGUCAUACGUAGUAAAAACCAGUUCAAAUCUCGUGUUUCUUUGUCAAUCCUCAGGCCUGUUUACAUGGAGAGGGGGCGAAUACCUUAAAUGUUACGAUCCUCGUGCCAAGUAGGACAGAUUAGGAGAGGUGGUACAAAUGCAUGUAGAUACCAAGACUUGCAUGAUGUAAAUAUUUAAUCCCAAUAUUAUUGCACAUUCGGUAGCAAAGAUGUUGACACCACAUGUCGUCUGAUGAUGACUUUUACGGGAUCGAAUAAGGUUUGGUCAUUGUAUUCCCUGAAAGGAAUGAGAGGAGAAAAGGAACUGGAAGACCUGGCUAUCUGCAGGCCAAUGCUGGCUGCAGGUCAAUAUUGAAUGCUCUUAUGAAAACUCAUAAGACAAUAACAAAAAAAAGAAGCUGAGGAUGCUGUUUUUAAAACAUGCUCCAUUCAAAAAAGGUGGAUUGAAAUUUAAGAAAGGUGUGACGGGUGCGUCUGCUGCAGGCAGGGAGGAUUUGACGGUCAGCCAGAGGAUUUGGAGAUAUACUGUAAUGUCUUUAAUGUGGACUUGCGUGUGAUUUAAGUUUUCACAAGGGUUUUAGUGUGUGUGAAAGUAUGUCAGUUUUCAAAAUUGAGCUAUGUCAAUUUGCUCAAACUACAUAACUCAAAGAACUUUGAAGCGGUCUUGUUGACGUCAUGAGCUUUUGUUUAAUACCAGUAUUGGUGAUAUAGGCCCAUGAUUAUAUACUGUAGAAAGUGAACAAGUUCACUGCUCAAUACAGAUAGUCAUAUAGCCUGAUCUCUGAAUGAUAUUUAUGAACCAAAAGAAGGCAUAAAAUAAAAACAUACAGUAGUGAUUUGAAUUAUUGAUAUUGUUAAACUAGAUCUGGGCCAGUAUUCAUAACAUACUCGCAUACCAGA
Molecule: long non-coding RNA, 966 nt
Organism: Mercenaria mercenaria
Lineage: Eukaryota; Metazoa; Mollusca; Bivalvia; Venerida; Veneridae
Exons: 4
Source: RefSeq, a predicted model, not a curated record